Molecule: long non-coding RNA, 1233 nt
Filed under: Anser cygnoides (Swan goose)
Lineage: Eukaryota; Metazoa; Chordata; Aves; Anseriformes; Anatidae
Description: lncRNA (ENSACDG00005014662.1)
Source: RNAcentral
CGCCCGGGUUAGGGGUGAGGGUUACGAUUAGCGUUAGAUUUAGGGGUAAAGGGAUUAGGGUUAGGGGUUAGGGUUUGGGUUAGGGUUAAGGUGAGAGUGUUGUCAGCCUGGUCAUCCCUUAUCCGAAGCGAAGGGAAGACGUUCAGGUGUUUCCCUCAGAGGGUCUGAGGUGGCAUGGGUGAUGGUGGCCGUUCCUUUCGAGCUUGGAUCUAACUUCCAGGUACAGAGGCAAGUGGACUGCUGUUUUGAAAUGAUAAGUGGCCCCGUAUUUAAUUUUAUGUUGUUGAGGGAUGGGUGCUAAUGCUGUCAGCUGAACGAUUACCUUCUAUGUUUUCAUUUGUUAAAGCUGAAACACAGCGUACAACCUGGGACGUCCCACCCAGAGCUGCCUCUGGCAAGAGGUGUUGUAGCUGGCUUAAGAGGGUAGAUGGAAGCAUCUGCCUUGGGGUGUCUCGCACAGGCUCAAAGGAGCAAACUGCAUUCUGAAGAGCUGCGUGCCAUGGCAGGCUCUACACAGAAGUGGCUGAGGACUUGAGAUGAGGCUGGAGAGUGACAAGGAGCAGCACGUGCAGGGAUGGUUUUCAAGCGCUGCGGUUGCUUUCUCUUCUGUUGAUCAGGUGCCACAGGCAAGGUGGGCUGUGACAUCAGUCUUUAGAAUUGGAGCAAAGCGGGUCACUUGAAUGCCGCAGGGCAUCUGAGAAGGGUGUUUUAACAGGAAAAGUUCGUCUGGCGUGGCGGUGUCUGAUGGCAGUGUGUUUCCACAGGUGAAGAGGUGCCUGGAGCCCCAUCUCAUCUAGCCUGCGUGUGUCUUGAUGAUAAAGCCUGCUUUCCAGCAGUCCCGAAAGCUAAGUUUGACCUGAAAUGCCCUGUCUGUGUCUUGGGUAUGGUUGUACCUUGGCGUGUGUGUGAUACGUGCCUGGGGAGGGCUUUUAAAUCAGUGCAGCAGAGGAACAGGAUCCAGUAACAACUGGAUAAAGAGGCCCUGGGUUCAUCCUUUUCAGCCUAGCGUGUGCCAGGCAGGGCAGUUCCAGCAUGUGUUCUGUGGUGUAUGUUUGUUUCUGUACUAUAGUAUCCAUUUAUCAGGUCUUGUUCCCAUAGUUCUUGGCUUCUGCAGUGCUUGCUGAGCACCAUAUCAUGGGUCUUAAAUGUAUUGUCUUGGUGGCAUGGGACUAGUAAUGAAGUGUUUCUUGUCUUUCAUCGGGACUUCAAAAGGCUGAUCUCUCUGAAGAGCUU